GAACAAAUUAGAGGACACUACUCUUCUUCCUCUGCUGAAAGUAUGAAACUGCCAUCCAUCCAUCGUAGACUAAACAGUAGUCUGUAAAUUAAGGACUACGUACCUGAUCAAAUGAGGGUAAGCUGGACAUUCUAGCAUCAUUUUAGUGCUCUGGCUACAAAAAAACUUAUGGGGUCAGUUUGCUUCUUUCAAAAAUCCUUUAUGGAAGUCAUCAAUGGAUUGGGAUCUCCAAGAGAGAAGGAUGUGAAUGGAUUCAUCGAAGGAUCAUAUAUUCCUUUCCGGCCACUGAUCAAGUGGCCAUCAGGACAGGACUUUAUGUGGCAAAAGGAGAGAACAGAAAACGUAAGAGGUGUUAGAAGAGCAUUUCUCUCCUAAGCUGUCAACAGGUAAUACAUGAGCUUAAUUUAUUAUAAGCAGCAUUAUUGAGGGAUUUGUAUAAUCUUAAAAUGUCAUGGCUUCAUAAUUAUGUCAAUCUUAGUGUUGAUCUGCUUACGUUAUCCAAAUUCUCUAAAAUUAAUAUAAGCUUUUUUUUGCUGUUUCUGCUGCUGUUGCUGCUGCUGCCCAUUAUAUAAAGAGAUUAAAGAGAAUGAUGAACAGAAUUAUCAUGUGUAGCAGAUUAUAUUAUUUUAUCAUUCCAGCUACUUAGGUGCUCUUUGAAUUAAUGAAAAUAAAUGUCGGCCCUUUCACAUUGAA
Long non-coding RNA from Populus trichocarpa (black cottonwood), 693 nucleotides. RefSeq lists it as uncharacterized. The record is from RefSeq and is a predicted model, not a curated record. Lineage: Eukaryota; Viridiplantae; Streptophyta; Magnoliopsida; Malpighiales; Salicaceae. The transcript is spliced from 2 exons.